Peromyscus californicus insignis is the source of this 9266-nucleotide long non-coding RNA. RefSeq lists it as uncharacterized. The transcript is spliced from 3 exons. The record is from RefSeq and is a predicted model, not a curated record. Lineage: Eukaryota; Metazoa; Chordata; Mammalia; Rodentia; Cricetidae.
CGCUGGCUGCCGGUGUGAGCUGCUGGAGGAUGGGCUGUGACUCCGGAGGCUGUCUGAGGAUGCUGAAGCUUCACUGCCCUGGCCACUGCCUGGCAUGCCCUCUGGGACCAAGAAAGACCCUGGAGAACACCAGCCUUGCAGGGCCAGCUCCGGGGAGGGCAGGGGCCCCUUCUGCCAGCUUCACUCCUUCAAUCCCCAGAGACUUAGAAGCUGGGGAGUGGGGGAUGGCAGCCUCAGCACAGCGCCAUAGGAGGUCUUAAGCUUUGAGACCCACUUGGACAGUCCCCUGCACCUCCCAGAGGGGCUAUGGAACUUAGAGAUGCCACAGAUGGAAUUCAGAGCCUAUGACCCGACAAAAAGGACCAGAGAGUCUUUAGAAGAAGAUAUUUAUGGAACAUUCGGGGCGGGGGGAGGGCACUUGUACACCGAGUACUGCUUUGGACAUGCCACACAUAUUAUUUCAAUGGCUGAUCAUCCAGUUUUACUGACCAGCCCAAAUGGGUACACUCAGUACCCCCCAAAUGUGGCAGGCCUGGUGUCCCACCCAGGACAAUGCAGGCUGGAGUCCAGAGAUGCCAGUGGUUGCACAGGAAAGUGGGGCCUUGGACUGGGGGCAAGUGGCAGAGCGCUUGCCUAGCAUGCAUAAGGCCCUGGACUCACUCACUAGCAACACACACACACACACACACACACACACACACACACACACACACACACAAACAGUCAAGGCCACCUUUUAACAACUCCACAGACUCGAGUGUCCUGGGGUGGAGUCAUUCAGGGACAGCAAGCCACAAGCAAAACUCUGGGGGUGGGACACCCAAAAGACCACUAGUUAUUGCUCCUUUGUGUCCUGACACUCUCUGUCACUGGAGCCCGCCCUGGUCAUAUCUGGCUCUGGGCCCAAAUAUCACCCAAACUAAGAGAAAACAGUGUAACAUAUAAAGAGAAGUGGAAAGAUUUACUUAAAGUUUUGACCAAAAGUAGGGAGACAGAAACGUUAACUGUCCCCACCUUACCCAAAGCUGCAUCGCAGUGUAUAGAAAAGGGGACACAGAAGCCAGGGGACCCAGUGCUAUCUCUAUUGUUGGAGGGUGAUAUCUAGCCCUGGGUCUCCCUCCCUUCCCACACAGAAGUUCCUGGGGGAAUCCUGACUCACACUGCCUGGCUCCCCUAACACCUCACACUCCACCCACUCUCUCCACCACCUGAAAUAUAGCUGCCGAGAGACCUGUCCAGAGAUUUUGCUGAUAUUCGCCUGCACUACAGGCAACAAGAGUGGAAUUCAUUCCUCCCCUACUUCUUUCUUUUCUUCUCUUUUCUUUCAGCAGGAUCUCAGGUAUUCCAGGCUGGCCUUGAAUUUGCUAUGUAGUCAAGAAUGGCCUCGAACUUCUGAUCCUCCUGCUUCCAGCCCACAGAUCCUGGGGUUAUGGAUGUGUGCUAUCUAUCAUGUCUGGUUUAUGCGGUGCUGAGGACUGAACCCAGAGCUUUGUGUAUGCUAGGCAGACACUCUGCCUACUGAGCUAGCAGGAUGCAUUUUCUGAUGAUGAGAUAGAGUUGAAGACAGGAAGAUGAGGGGUGAGAGGAGGGAGCGGUGAGAUAAGCUGGUAAUUCUAGAACAUUCUCGGAGUGAUGAUUGUGCAAUGGCCGUCAGCACAGUAGAGGGUGUUCUGGAGGAAGGACAUGUUGGCACUGUGUCCAGAGCUCAGGAUGGUAAAGUCAGGAUGUUAUUAAGGUAGGAGGCAGUACAGCUGGGUGGAGAAUCCACAGGUACCUGGUCAGGGAUCUCCCUCACCCAUGGAGUGGCCACAGGUCCUGACUGUCCCAGAAAUAAGGUAAAAUCUCUGUAGUCACCCAGGAGGUCUGGAGGCUGCUCUUUGAGAGAUGAGCCCAAGUGAAUGUGCUGAAGCCCAAGGGGCAUGGGCACACACGGUCAGGUGAUGGGAUGUGAGGGGUGUGGGCACACAUGGUCAGGUGAUGAGGGGUAUGGGCACACAGGUCAGGUGAUGGGAUGUGAGGGGCGUGGGCACACAUGGUCAGGUGAUGGGAUGUGAGGGGCGUGGGCACACAUGGUCAGGUGAUGGGAUGUGAGGGGCGUGGGCACACAUGGUCAGGUGAUGGGAUGUGAGGGGCGUGGGCACACAUGGUCAGGUGAUGGGGUGCGGGUGGCAGAGGGGCAAGAACCCAGGGUCCUUUAGGCCAGAAUCUGGGGCUCACCAUGUGGGCUGGAGGUAAGACGGAGAUGCCAGAACAUAAUUUUACCAUUGAAAGGAACAGGAAGGAAAACAGACACCAAAUCCCAGUGGAAAAGAACUUUCUAAGAAAAAAAAGCCAGGAUGAGUGCUCUUUGUGCAAAAGCUAAAUUCUCAGGUGGCGCCAAAGAAACAUCAAGGUAAAAGAUGAGCAAUGUGUCAGGUAAAUGUUUGACACUAAUGUGACAAAAAAUUAAUACUAUUAACAUGGCAAGAGGUAUUCUGAAGCAAAAUGUUGAGAAAGAUGUGAAUGCACUACAGAUGAUGCAAUGAGUGUGGCCUGUACACACACACACACACACACACACACACACACACACACACACAUGCAUGCAUUCACAUACACACACACAUGCACUCACACACGUAUGCAUGCACUCACACACACACACACACACACACACAUACACGCAUGUCCUUACACACAGUGAGCACACAGCAACAUUCUGGCCCCUUUGCCUGAGUUACAGCAGCUUCUGUUCCGAGGUUCCAGUCAGCUGUAAAGCGACGGAAGUCGCCAUCCCACCCUUCAGCCCAGAGCCUUUAUUGGACUCUGUGUUGACCGACCAUGCACAGAAAGCCAGAUCAGGACUCGUGGGCCGCGGUGGCUUGCCUCAAUGCUGAGGAAGACAGAGCAGGAAACGGCACCUGGAAAACAUUCUUGAUAAAAUCUCACAAGAGUCAAACACAAAGGAUGGCCAGUCUGGGAGAGGCGUGAAGUUGGAAGGAUGUGCACAGGACAAGGCAGGGAGGAGAUAAAUACACCACCAUUAGCAGUGGAGAUUUCCACCCUUUAAAAUACAUAUCUGGAAUGUAAACACAAGAACAAGGUUCUGAGGAUGUCAGGAUCUUCUGCAGGGUGGGGUAAGCCACCUUGGAUUUCCCAGGCUCUGGUCCUCUGGGUCUAGGAAAGCCCUGUUCUUGGAUGGGGGUGGGAAGCUCUGGACUGGAAGGAUGGAUGAUCAAGUGUGUGUGGGCAGGAGGUGAGUGAGUGGAUGGACAGACACACAAGUCCACAGGUGGAUGGGGGGGGGAUAAUGAAUAGGUGGCUGAUGGGUAAAUAGGUGGAUAGACAGAAGGAGGGACAGAUGGGGGACAAAGUGAUGGUUAAUCAGAUGGAAAGAUGGAUGACAGGAUGAAUACAUGCAUGCGUGGGCAGAUGGAUGCAUGCAUGGGUGGAUGCAUGAGUGGAUGGGUGGGUGGAUGCAUGUGUGCAUGUGUAGAUGCAUGCAUGCAUGCAUGGGUGGAUAGGUGGCAGAUGAAUGGACAGGUGGAGAAAUAGUUGGAUGGACAAGGGACUGUAUUGAGAGAUAGGUGAAAGCCUUAGGUAAGGAAGGAUUAGCCACUGGCCCCUCCCGCAGCCUGUACCUUUGCCCUUCUCUCUGGGAGAUACACUUGCCCAUUUCUCUCCACUUGCUUUUUUACUGCAGCUCUGUUCAGCCUCCUUUGACCAGCCUCUUACCCUGAGUCCCAGACAGCUCCCCUCCCCUCCCCUGUACUUGGGCUGUUCAAUAUGCUAGAGUACCGACCCCACACAGCUGCCAUAAAUCCUGCCCUCGUCCCACAGCUGAUCAAUCUCCAAUCAGCUCCAAAGCCCCUGAAUGUCCGUAGCUCGCUCUGGCCAUGGGAGCCACAGCCACAGCUGGCUCUGAAUGCUGCCGGCUACAUAUAUUGAACUUGAAGCAUCGGAUUACAUGUUUGUUCAAUAGCAAUAAACUCCCAAAGUUUUAUAGGGUCAUAAAACUGCUGCCUGGGCUCCCACUUAGGUGGCAUGUAAUGUACACAGACCGGCUUCCCCGCUAAUGGGGCAGUGCAAGUGAUUUGGGGCUAUUAGCUAGAAACAGUACAUCUGCAUUCGCCAAAUUCUCAUCAAUAAAGUGGCCCCACCGGAGCAGAACACACCAGACCCAGUCUUGACAUUCAAGGGAGGAAGCAUGGCAGAGUGCGGCCAGGCCAUGAAAUGGUUACAGAGGAAACAACUAUGGCAAUGGGGGUGGAGGGAGAAUUAGGGGGAAGCAGGGUUCGGAACCAGUACAGAGACGGCAUGCCUGGAGCAUAUGAUACUCAUCCACCCCCGAGGAAGCGUGUGGGUGGCAUCCUCGCAAGGUCCCAGUCUCCAACCCUGCCCUCUGGGGAGGAUGGUUACAGGUGGUAGAGGUGGGAGGGGAACAGGCAGAUAUGGACGGCGAGGUGAAGAGAGGAGAGUAUACGAGAGCCCCAAGGUCGAGGGAUGAUGAAGGUGGUAAUGUCCCUACAGACUCCCAGCUGGGCCCGAUCAGUGACAGAGGAUCGUAAGCAAGGAGAUGCAGCUGCCUUUGGGGGUGUGCUUGGGGUCCACUCUGUGGGCCCAGGGCCAGAGUGAAAAGCUGUUGGGGCAGAAGUGGGAAUGUUGUGAUUUCAGAGGACCAGGAGCCAAAACAGGGAAGUUGUCUCAUUAGGUUGAUCUGCACUGGCCUGUACCCAAAGCCACCAGAAGAAAACCGACCCAGGUCCUCAUUCCUAGACAGUAGCAAGAGACAAAAAUGCGGCUGGGGGCCAAGCACAAGGCAAGCCCAGGCAGGCACAAAAACAUGUGCCCAAAUAAUGCCCAUAAACCCUGGGGUAGCAUCUGCUAGGCCCCUUUCCCGCUAACCUCCAGCACCCUCGAUAGUGAAGAUCCCAUUUCAGCCUUAGCCUGGCUCUUCCUUGACACCAGAGUUGGGCACGUGUAUGACUUUGCCCUGAUCCUUGUAACUUAGCUCUCGAUCCAGAUCCUCAGAAACACAUUGAUUUGCCUGAAUGAAUCAAUAUUUAUUGCAGCUUCAAGGCCUGGGGCCUGAGGAGGGCCUGCAGGCUGAUGAAUGGAGCCAACACAGCUACCUUGCUGACAGGAUUCAUCGAGCAACUUCCUGGUUCCACACUAGCUCCAGAGCCUCUCCCAUACUGGCCCAUCCGGGACAAACUCCCCAGUGAUGGCCUGCCACACACAGACACUGAGCCAAACUCCAUCCUCAAUGAAAGUCCCAGGGGAGUUGGAAGGUGUGAAGAGGACUGGGAGUAAGACCCUAUACUAGGUUCGUGACAGAUCCAGGCCCUGGGUUCACACCACAGAGUGGAAUAUCCAAUGCUGCCAACAUGGCCUCCUCAGCACCUGUGAACAGAAAAGCAGCAGUGACCACGGAUGUCUCUGUGACUGGGCAUCGGCUCCUCUGUCUUCACUGUUCAUGUGAACGGACAGUCCUGGGCCUGCCACAGGGAGAAGGCAGGCCCAUGCUGAGCCUCACCUCAAGUCCAUGUAUGGCCAUGAGACCAGAAAGGACUGAAAGCCCAAGCUAGACAAGCCACUGCCAUGGUGGUCCUAGUCGGCCAGUACUAGCCUUGGCUGCUCUAGAGGGUCUGCAUCUAUCCCCCAACCUCUUCCUUCCUUACUCACCCCUUCCAUAUCCAGUCCUGCCACCACCGGGCAGGGGCCCAUGCCCUGCCCCACCCUGCCCCACCCUGCCUCACCUGCCCACUUCACUGUUUACUUGAAGGUUUUCUUCAAAUGGAUUUUUCACUUAAGUGAUUAUAUUUUGAAAGGAAAUCUUACAGCAGCCCUGGAAAUGGAAAACAAGCUUCGAGGGUGGUAAAUAGAAGGUAUCCACACAAAUAAAAUGAAAAUAAAACAUGUUAUGAAAUCCCGUGAGGCCCCGGCUGCAACAGGCUGAAGCCCGUGCCCAGAAGCCUCAGAACCAUUCAGGCCAGGAGCAGACUGCAGGGCCCAGUCACACGUCAUCUCAGACCCUGGUCACACUCCUGAGUGCUGGGCACACUGGGUUCUCAGUCCUGAUCCACCCUGAUUCUUGGUCCAGUCACACCUUGAUUCUGGGUCCUGAUCCACCCUGAUUUUGGGUCCAGUCACACUUUGAUCCUGGGUCCUGAUCCACCCUGAUUCUGGGUAUGACUUGAGUCCCAGAUAUACCUUGAUUCUUAAUCCUGGAUACAUCUUGAUUCUGGGUUCAGUCACACCGUUAAAACUGGGGCCAUGCACAUUUGGGUUAUGGGUUCUGUUCAAAUUAGGUUUCUGGGUCUUGUUUCCACCUUGAUUCUCGGUCCAGUCACAGCAUUAAUCCAAAAUGCUGCUCAGAUCUGGAACCUGAGUCCUGGUUAUAUCUUGAUUCUGGAUUGACACCUAGAUUUUGGAUCACAGUUACAUCUGGUUUCUGGGUCAUGGUCAUCACAGCUGUAGUCUGCCUGGACUCUGGGUGCUUUUCACAGGUUGGUUCUGGGAGCCACCGGGCCACACCUGGAUUUUACUGUGGCCACAUUUUGGAGGAGGAUCUGCCUCAAAGGUUCACUCAGGAGAGCACCCCACAGAGUGGUGAGAACGUUCUUCCUGUGCUCCGCAGCAUUACAGAAGGCUGCCUGUGAGCACUGCUUCCUGGGGACAUGAAAUGACUGAUUCUUGAUCACAGUUCAGAUGUGUUAUGAAAUCCCGUGAGGCCCCGGCUGCAGCAGGCUGAAGCCGGUGCCCAGAAGCCCCGGACCACUCAGGCCAGGAGCAGACUGCAGGGCCCAGUCACACCUCAGUCUCAGACUUUAGUCACACUCCUGAGUGCUGGGCACACUAGGUUGUGGGUUCAGUUCUGGGGACAGAGAUUCCCACUUCCACUGUCUGUCCAGGCUCCAGGGUCCCAGGCAGCUCCUGUGUGUGGCCCAACACAGAGGAAGGAGAUGGCGUGGCCCAUGCUACCUGCCUGUCUCUUAGACUUACCUGUAUCUAGAUGCUACAUGCGCUGAAAAGCUUUCCUAUCCUAGGUUGAUCUCCUCUUCCAGAUGGACCUGUAGGGGCCUCCUGGCCAGACCUCAUCCAUCCACAUCAAUGAGCAUGCCUCAAAGUCCAGCUUCACUUAAACGGCAAGACGACGCCCACCCAAAUGAAAGCUGGCAGGUUUACCUGCUGUUCUCAGAAGGCCAUAGGACCCCCAGCCUACCCACUGGCCUGAGUAAGAGAGAUGGCCUCCACACGGUUCAGCAGUGUGCCCCCCUGCAGGCCUUAUCAGCGUCUCAACUGAUGUCCCACUAUCUCAAGCUCAGCAACCAGAAGAUGGUGCUCAGUGUGGAAGUUCAGACUCAGAAAAGGUCCUUCCUUAAUUAAAAAUCAGACUUCCCCUCCCAUACUGACUCCUAGGCCUGGCAGAUGUUGCUCAGAGAGAUGUACUCAUCUCCCAGGGUCCAUGGGCGGGAAAACCACUAACUGCGGCUGGCACUUGGUCAUACAGACCUUCAGACAGUUCUGACAAGCCAUUGUUCCCUGGUUCUGGAAUCUGCCCUGCCCAGGGAGUCCUGACCUGCACAUGGCUGUCCAGCAAGGCCUGGCCCAUGUACCAGCAGAGCCCAUACCCAGCAGCCUUUUGUAAGGGCAGCAUUUGUAUUGCUGGGCCCUCAGGAUGUGGCAGCUAUCUACAUCCUGAGGAGAGUAGAAGAAGGACCAGGGGCAUCUCGCAGCCUGGCCAGCCAGGGGCAUCUCGCAGCCUGGCCAGCCAGGGGCAGCUGCCCUCAGGGGCAAGGAGGCAGAAGCUGGCUGGAGGAAAAUGUGGUCAGAGCUGAGGACAAACGGGCUAAGGUUGUUAGAGCUGUGACAAAGAUAGGUGGCCAUACACACUGCUGCCGGGCCAGUCAGAGGGGGGACCCUUGGUUCCUCCUCCCGGCCCUUGUCCUAUGGCCUUAUAUGAUAAGAAUCAACCUAGACCAUUGGCUGCUCUGUCCAGCUCAUCUGCUCAGAAGAGUCAGAGUCAUCCUAAGAGGAUGUGGUCAGAGCCACGGCUAUGUUGGACACCUAGGGUCCCAGGCUGGGAAAGGUGCUCUGAGAAAAACACAGCCAAGGGCCACCUCCCCUCCCAAGUCCGCCAGCCCCAAACUCUGGAGACCCGGCAGGUGGGUCAUUGCUAACUGAUGCCAAUGCCCCCCACACUGCCACAUGCUGCUCAACUGUGUCUGCACUGCCACAUGAUGGGCACUGUCACUAUUCUAUGUGAGCUCAACCCCCCCCAUCUUUCCAAGACAGGAUCUAGUCUCUGUAUAGCCCUGUGUGUCCUAGAAUUCACUAUGUAGCCAGGCUGGCCUUGAACUCUCAGAGAUCCACCUGCCUCUGAUGACCGAGUGCUGGGAUUAAAGGCGUGCGCCACUAUCACCCGGCUGGGUGACUGAUUUUUAAUGGAUUGUUCUGAAGCCAGGCCUGGUGGUUCCAAUUCUCUGUGAAAAUGUGGUUUUGUUUUUUGUUUUUCUUAUAACGAUGGAAAAAGUUAAGGCUGGUUUGGACAAGAAGGUCCCCAGCAUCCUGGACCCCAUAGCAGCCACAGGAGAAGAAGGAUCAGACAGGCAGCCUAUCUCUGCCAUCACCUGGCUCUCCUCAACAGUUUGCCAGAAGCCUCACUCACAUCCAGCUCAGGGACAGCCCCGCAGAGUGGGGCAUGUGUUGUGCCAAGAGCUGUCCAUUCUGUGCACCUAGCACCCUGGGCAGACUUUGCCACUGGGAACUUCAAAAUGGCCUCCUGUACCCUCAUCAUCCUGGAGUGCUCAGAGUGCCCUGUGCAGAGGACGAGGCUGGACACUCUGGGCCAUCGCCAGUCCUGUGAGGCACCUGGUGACCACACUCACCGAACUUUGGGCCAGAGUCACUGUCUAAGAGACUCUUAGGUCAGUAUCUGAGCAAAGUCAUGACGAGCCUGCUGAGGACACAUUGCUGAGACUCUUCAGACCCCCUGACAUCUUUGGUCUGGUGGAGACAGCUUGGGAAGCCAGAGGGUGGGCUUCUGCAGGCCACGUUCAGGGGUGCGUGUCCAGGACCAACAGGACCGGCCCAGGUAGCGCUCCCACACAUAAGGCGGACGCUGUCAGACACAUGUGGCGGGUGGGUAAACUGAGAUAAAGAUGGGGGUCAGAGCCGGGCGGUGGUGGCGCACGCCUUUAAUCCCAGCACUCGGGAGGCAGAGCCAGGUGGAUCUCUGUGAGUUCGAGGCCAGCCUGGUCUCCAAAGCGAGUACCAGGAAAGGC